CGUGUAGGCGGUAAUGUAAGUCAGACGUGAAAUCCUUUGGCUCAACUGAAGAACUGCGUCUGAAACUGCAUGACUAGAGUGCAGAAGAGGGAAACGGAAUUCCUGGUGUAGAGGUGAAAUUCGUAGAUAUCAGGAGGAACACCGGUGGCGAAGGCGGUUUCCUGGUCUGACACUGACGCUGAGGCGCGAAAGCGUGGGGAGCAAACAGGAUUAGAUACCCUGGUAGUCCACGCCGUAAACGGUGGGUACUGGGUGUGGGAGGUGUAAUGCCUUCUGUGCCGAAGCUAACGCGUUAAGUACCCCGCCUGGGGAGUACGGUCGCAAGAUUAAA
RNAcentral lists this ribosomal RNA (331 nucleotides) under uncultured bacterium. RNAcentral's name for it is "bacterial SSU rRNA". It matches the Rfam family "Bacterial small subunit ribosomal RNA", at positions 568 to 898 of the family's 1533-position model. The record is from RNAcentral.